This 518-nucleotide ribosomal RNA is filed under the name uncultured bacterium. RNAcentral describes it as "partial 16S ribosomal RNA". It matches the Rfam family "Bacterial small subunit ribosomal RNA", at positions 29 to 523 of the family's 1533-position model. The record is from RNAcentral.
AACGAACGCUGGCGGCGUGCCUAACACAUGCAAGUCGAACGGAGUUAAGGAGCUUGCUCUUUAACUUAGUGGCGCACGUGUGAGUAACGCGUAGAUAAUCUGCCUGAUGAUCUGGGAUAACAUUUCGAAAGGGGUGCUAAUACCGGAUAAACCCACGACGGCCUUGGUCGACGCGGGAAAAGGGGGGGACCUUCGGGCCUUCUGUCAUCAGAUGAGUCUGCGUACCAUUAGCUAGUUGGUGGGGUAAAGGCCUACCAAGGCUACGAUGGUUAGAUGGUCUGGGAGGAUGAUCAGCCACACUGGAACUGGGACACGGUCCAGACGCCUACGGGAGGCAGCAGUGGGGAACUUUGCGCAAUGGGCGAAAGCCUGACGUAGCAACGCCGCGUGAGUGAUGAAGGCUUUCGGGUCGUAAAGCUCUGUCAAUGGGAAAGAAGUGUAUUAUGGCUAAUAUCCAUGAUACUUGACGGUACCCAUAAAGGAAGCACCGGCUAACUCCGUGCCAGCAGCCGCGGUAA